This 444-nucleotide ribosomal RNA is filed under the name uncultured bacterium. Its description in RNAcentral is "bacterial SSU rRNA". It matches the Rfam family "Bacterial small subunit ribosomal RNA", at positions 354 to 796 of the family's 1533-position model. The record is from RNAcentral.
GUGAGGAAUAUUGUGCAAUGGAGGCAACUCUGACGCAGCCAUGCCGCGUGCAGGAAGAAGGCGCUACGCGUUGUAAACUGCUUUUAACCGGGAAGAAACCCCAGGACGUGUCCUGGGUUGACGGUACCGGAGGAAUAAGCACCGGCUAACUUCGUGCCAGCAGCCGCGGUAAUACGAAGGGUGCAAGCGUGAUCCGGAUUCAUUGGGAUUAAAGGGUGCGUAGGCGGAGCGUUAAGUCAGUGGUGAAAUCCUGCAGCUUAACUGUAGACUUGCCAUUGAUACUGGCGCUCUUGAGUGCGCUUGAAGUGGGCGGAAUGUGCCGUGUAGCGGUGAAAUGCUUAGAUAUGGCACAGAACACCAAUUGCGAAGGCAGCUCACUAAGGCGAUACUGACGCUGAGGCACGAAAGCGUGGGGCUCGAACAGGAUUAGAAACCUAGUAGUCC